This 1518-nucleotide long non-coding RNA is filed under the name Heterocephalus glaber (naked mole-rat). RNAcentral describes it as "lncRNA (ENSHGLG00100039855.1)". Lineage: Eukaryota; Metazoa; Chordata; Mammalia; Rodentia; Bathyergidae. The record is from RNAcentral.
GGAGAGAAUUCGAAUGUCAUUUUAAGCGACUCUUGUCUGUUGGGAUUUGUUGCUGCAGCCACAAAGCCCAAACACAGUGUCCACCUCCUUAGGGCUUCUACACUCUCCUAAAAGAAGUGAGGCUGUGGUCAUCUGCAUCCAGUUCUUUUGCAUGCAUUGUUACAAGGACAGCUGUGGCCCUGUGGAGCCAGCCCAAAUCCCAGCCCUCUGAGGGCAGGCGCCUUGUGUCCGAAACAGGAGCACCUCAACAACCAAGCACUGAUGUCAGCACCCAGGUUCCAGCACUCAGCAUCAUAAUCAGAAGAGACCAACACCUUGCUGGGCACGCUGACCGGACUCCACCAAUGCUAUUUCCCAGCCUGCAGACCACUCUGCCUGUCUCAGAUCACAGCCACUAAUGGGGAAUCCAGGGGACUCCAAGAAGAACAAAGGCCAACCAAGACGCCAGCGUGAGCCACCAAGUCCAGCCACGGUGACUUCCCCGGGGGACUUCUGCCACCGCACCCCCUGCCCACAGGGGCUUUCCUGGCCAAAGAGCCAUCCUGCCGCUCCAUCGGUCUCUGGAGAAACCAACCCUGCAACACAGCAGAGGGCUGGGCAAGGCGGUAACUUAGAGAUCCCUGGCUGAGAACCUCAAGGUUGAAGAUAAAUUCAUUUGCCUUCAGGUGCUUGAGCUGAUCCAUUAAUUACAGCUGACUUGGACCGGCUCUCUGUAAACAGGAUUACAGGCAGAAGCAUUCUGUCCUCUGGUCUUCUAAUGUGCCACCACAUGUGACAAUGGCUUGCCAAUUCCAGUCCCUGUGGGGAGGGCUUGUCCCCAUGACAAUGUGCAGGUGAGCAGGCUUUCCCCUCUCUCCUCCUCCUCAGGGACAGAGGCUGCAGGCCAGAGGAGUCUCUGGUAGGAAGGGAUCAGGUGGAGCCCCUCCAGGUACCUUUUCGGCACAUGAGGCAGAGCAACGUUCAGAGGUCCGGGAUGGUGGCUGACUCGGCUCCAGGGGGCCUGAGGGGAGAGGUGAAGGCGAUUCCACCCAGCCUGGAAACUCCCCGACUCUCAGCCUUCCCACUGGGAGAGGCAUCAGUGUCUGUCCCCUCCGACCAUUCCGGAGUACACGGGGCCUAGAUGCGGGGUUGGGUGAGCACCGCUGGCAGCACUGAAUUUCAGGGGAGGCUCCACUUCCUUCCCAGAGAAACGAAAGCUCAGGGCUGUCUGGGUGUCCCUGCAGCCUUUGCCCACAGCUUAAGUUCUGACACCUCACCUCUGAGGGCGGCCAGGCAGGGCCACAGGGGGCCUUCCAGGUCCUUCCACCCGUUCUCUGGGGCUGCACACACCCAGCAGGGCGGCCCCUCCCCACCCCACCGUCACCCACCUGCAGCUCCCCGUGCCCCCCCCAGCACCUCAGCAGAUGGCAUUCUGAGUCCCACCACGGCUCCAUCCCCGCUCCCAGCCCAUUCAGGGUCCAAGGCCAGACUUGGUGGCCUUCAUUACAGACUAUAACACAAAAACACAAUAAAAUAAAA